CCCUAAGGGAGACACCAGCCACCCUGCGGAGAAAACCCAUCUCGGCCGCUUGUAUCCGCGAUCUCGUUCUUUCGGUCAUGACCCAUCCUUCAUGACCAUAGGAGGACUUGAAUGAGAUAAGACACGUUUGGAACGCAGAUCGCAUCAGGCCCUCUACAAACGCCAAUGUCCCCGCAGGAAUACCUAUAUCAUGUAUACGGCACCUCAUUUGUGGGGUGCAGAUGACCUUCUUGUUCCAUUCAGUGAAGACUUACCCACUUGCAAAGAGAGCUGCAAGUUCCUAACUUCAGUUCCAUGUGAUGAGGACAUGUUUGAUUUGUGCACAAUCAUAAUGGAAGAAUCAGGCAUGGGGUUCCCAAUGAAUUUCCAGAUGUAGUUCAUUCUGAUGAAACACGAACAUCCAGCUGCGGCUCAACAUCUGUCUGGACUCUGGAGUCGACCUCUUUGCAGGAUUAAUGGCACGUGUCGAGCUGAGUGUGCAGAAAUAUGGAGAGAGGGAGAGGAGGAUCAUGGGAAAAAGAGGUCGUCCUGCCUAUUUCCAAUUCCUGACACCAUAUUGAUCAGAUUUCUGAUUUUUUCCUCAGAUUUGGGACAUUUUCAGAUCCAAAAAAUGGUUCAUUCAGUAUUCUGAGAAAAACUAUUGAAAAACUGACUUCAGGAAAUCAGAGAAAAAUGUAUUCUUCAGAAUGUUUUUCAUUUUCAAUAUUUUUUCAAAAAGAUUUGAUUCGAGAUUUUCUUUUACAAUUUGUAGUUCUGACCACAAAAAAAAUGUUCACUUGUUUGUUAGUGAACAGCAGAUGGCGACAAACACCAGCUUUUCUU
Gymnodraco acuticeps is the source of this 822-nucleotide long non-coding RNA. RefSeq lists it as uncharacterized. The record is from RefSeq and is a predicted model, not a curated record. The transcript has 3 exons. NCBI's taxonomy places the organism in Eukaryota, Metazoa, Chordata, Actinopteri, Perciformes, Bathydraconidae.